UUACGUCCAUAUCACGUUGAAACACCGAUUCUCGUACGAACACCGAAGUUAAGCAACGUCGAGCCAGGUCAGUGCUUAGAGGGAUGCCCGCUUGGGAAUACCAGGUGUUGU
This 111-nucleotide ribosomal RNA is filed under the name Acanthosepion pharaonis. The record is from RNAcentral. Lineage: Eukaryota; Metazoa; Mollusca; Cephalopoda; Sepiida; Sepiidae.